GACGAACGCUGGCGGCGUGCUUAACACAUGCAAGUCGAACGGAAAGGCCCGGCUUUUGUGGGGGGCUCGAGUGGCGAACGGGUGAGUAACACGUGAGUAACCUUCCCUUGACUGUGGGAUAACUUCAGGAAACUGGGGCUAAUACCCGUUAGGAGCUCCGGCUGCAUGGGGGGGGUUGGGAAGCUUCGGCGGUUGGGGAUGGCCUCGCGGCUUAUCAGCUUUUAGGUGGGGUAGUGGCAUACCAAGGCUUUGACGGGUAGCCGGCCUGAGAGGGUGACCGGGGACAAGAGGCCUACGGUACGCAGCAGACUGGAACGGGGGGCAGCGGUCGGAAAUAUUACCCAGCAGGGCGGAGUCUGAGACAACGGCGCCGCGUGCGUAAAGCACGCCUGCGCGGAGUGAACCCCUUGGCCCUAAGACGGACGGGGAAUGACGGUACCGGAUAAAGAAGCACCGGCUAACUACGUG
This 468-nucleotide ribosomal RNA is filed under the name uncultured bacterium. Its description in RNAcentral is "partial 16S ribosomal RNA". It matches the Rfam family "Bacterial small subunit ribosomal RNA", at positions 28 to 507 of the family's 1533-position model. The record is from RNAcentral.